AGUAACACGUGGGCAACCUUUCCUAUCGCGGGGGAUAACACCGGGAAACCGAUGCUAAUACCGCAUGUCGUCACUGGUCGCAUGGCUGGUGAAGAAAGCAGCAAUGCACGAUGGGGUGGGCCCGCGGCCUAUCAGCUAGUCGGUGGGGUAACGGCCUACCGAGGCGAUGACGGUUAGCUGGUCUGAGAGGACGGCCAGCCACACGGGGACUGAGACACGGCCCCG
Molecule: ribosomal RNA, 225 nt
Filed under: uncultured bacterium
Lineage: Bacteria
Description: partial 16S ribosomal RNA
Rfam family: Bacterial small subunit ribosomal RNA
Source: RNAcentral